This is a long non-coding RNA of Aphis gossypii (cotton aphid), 520 nucleotides long. RefSeq lists it as uncharacterized. Lineage: Eukaryota; Metazoa; Arthropoda; Insecta; Hemiptera; Aphididae. The record is from RefSeq and is a predicted model, not a curated record. The transcript has 4 exons.
GUCAGUAUGCCUAUAAUAUCGAUAUCAAUCAUUUCAAAAUUUAACAUCAAUUGUUUUGAAACAUCUUGUAAAAAGUACGCACCGAUCACUUCAGUGGAUAUAAAAAGCUCGUUUUCUACGUAUAAAAAUAUUCUGUUGUCAGUUUGAGUCAGUUUUACUAUUGAAAAUCUAUGGGAAUACAUAGACCCUCGUUAUAGAAUUUUAAUGAAAAGAUUAUUGAUAAGAGGAUUUAAACUUUUAGGUAAUAGUUUAUGGAAAUUUUUAGCAUAUAAAAGAGUGUAUUAAGAGUACUGUACAAGGUUUCAGCUUAAAUUCAUAUAUAAUUGUGAUUUUUAUGACAAGAACUGUUAAACUGAUUCAUGAGUGACUCCGAGUGGAAGUAUUUUCUCAGUAAAUUGUUUCCCUAUAAAUUGAAAAUAUGUCAGCAUAAGCCUUUAUUGUAAAUAUUUACAUAUUGUAUUUUUUUCCCCAUUCAAAAAUAAUAUUUAUUUGUAAAAACGUUGAGAAAUAAAUUAAGUGA